Long non-coding RNA from Culex pipiens pallens (northern house mosquito), 1166 nucleotides. RefSeq lists it as uncharacterized. Lineage: Eukaryota; Metazoa; Arthropoda; Insecta; Diptera; Culicidae. The record is from RefSeq and is a predicted model, not a curated record. The transcript is spliced from 2 exons.
CCCAAAACCAAAGCUAAAAAAUCUAUUCGCCACCUACAUUCGAGUAGGAGAACUUUGGUGCAAGGUUACGUUUACGUUUUUGCGCGAUAAGUGCAAAGGGGAGUGAAAACUAUUCUAAGAUUUUUUAAAGAAAAUUGAUCUUUUGGAAUAAAAUAAAGUUAAAAUAAAGGUAAGAAAUAAAAAGUUCUAUCGACUGACUUUUUGAUUUUUUUGCUAAGUUGCCUUUUUCAUUGAAAAUUCUGAGAUCCGGAUUGAAAACGCGUGAAUGAGGUUAGAUUGCUAAUUUUGAAAAUCAAUCCAAUUAUCAUUUUUCAAGCAGAUCUUUGCUUUUAUGGUAGAAGUGACUUUAAAAAAUAAUUGUCCACUUGAAUAAUCUACAUUCUCAAUUGAUUAGUUAUGUUUUGGUUGAUUAAAACAUUCCCUUAUUUUGAAUCAGAUAAUGAACAGGUUAAAUCGACCAUCACAAAAAUAUUUUCGUUUAUAUCAAUUAAGCUAUUUAUUUCUUACCUGAAAAUGGUAUAAUUUGCUAUUAAUGUCGAUUUUAUGAUGAAAUAAAACAAUUUGAAAUUUCAAACCAAUUUACUCGCUGUAGCCCGGUCACGAGAUUUUCUGGCAGAAAUAGUUCUGCUAGAAUCCUGCUAGAAUGAUUCUAGCAGGCAUGUAAGAAUUUUGUUAGAAAUUUACUAGAAUAUUCUAGCAGAGCGAAAUCUGAAAGAAUUCUGCUAGAAUUUAACUGGAAUGUUCUGACAAGACAUUUUUUCGCCAUCCUGGUGGUGGCGAACAAAAUUUUCGCCAAAACCGCGUGUUUACCGGCGAUUUUUCUUUCUUUCUGAAAUCUGGGAAGAGGAAGGUGUUCUCGCGAUUCUGAUAUCUUCAAAGAUGGUUGAAAUCCAUGGAUUCACCGCAGAUCAUGCACAAAAACAAAAAUGCGGUCGUUUGCCUCGAUUAUGUCGCAAGCAUCGCAGGCGAAUGUCGGUCGAUUCCCUUGCCGAUGCAUGGCCACGCAAUCGGAACCGAUGGAAGCCAGUAGUGAACAUUCAAGGAAGAUUCGUCGCAUCGCACUUAAGGAAAAUACCGGGAUUUGUACUGUGUAUUUUGUGAAGUGAUAUGAGUGAUAACAAAAAACGAUGUUGAAUAAAUAUACAUUUACCAAGAUAAUUACUGAA